CGAACGCUGGCGGCGUGCUUAACACAUGCAAGUCGAACGGAAAGGCCCUUCGGGGUACUCGAGUGGCGAACGGGUGAGUAACACGUGGGUGAUCUGCCCUGCACUUUGGGAUAAGCCUGGGAAACUGGGUCUAAUACCAAAUAUGACCAUGCACUUCCUGGGUGUGUGGUGGAAAGCUUUUGCGGUGUGGGAUGGGCCCGCGGCCUAUCAGCUUGUUGGUGGGGUAAUGGCCCUACCAAGGGCGACGACGGGUAGCCGGCCUGAGAGGGGUGACCGGCCACACUGGGACUGAGAUACGGCCCAGACUCCUACGGGAGGCAGCAGUGGGGAAUAUUGCACAAUGGGCGCAAGCCUGAUGCAGCGACGCCGCGUGAGGGAUGACGGCCUUCGGGUUGUAAACCUCUUUCAGCACAGACGAAUCGCAAGUGACGGUAUGUGCAGAAGAAGGACCGGCCAACUACGUGCCAGCAGCCGCGGUAAUACGUAGGGUCCGAGCGUUGUCCGGAAUUACUGGGCGUAAAGAGCUCGUAGGUGGUUUGUCGCGUUGUUCGUGAAAACUCACAGCUUAACUGUGGGCGUGCGGGCGAUACGGGCAGACUUGAGUACUGCAGGGGAGACUGGAAUUCCUGGUGUAGCGGUGGAAUGCGCAGAUAUCAGGAGGAACACCGGUGGCGAAGGCGGGUCUUUGGACAGUAACUGACGCUGAGGAGCGAAAGCGUGGGGAGCGAACAGGAUUAGAUACCCUGGUAGUCCACGCCGUAAACGGUGGGUACUAGGUGUGGGUUUCCUUCCUUGGGAUCCGUGCCGUAGCUAACGCAUUAAGUACCC
RNAcentral lists this ribosomal RNA (828 nucleotides) under Mycolicibacterium frederiksbergense. RNAcentral's name for it is "bacterial SSU rRNA". It matches the Rfam family "Bacterial small subunit ribosomal RNA", at positions 30 to 869 of the family's 1533-position model. Lineage: Bacteria; Bacillati; Actinomycetota; Actinomycetes; Mycobacteriales; Mycobacteriaceae. The record is from RNAcentral.